GUACCCAUAGCUCAGUUGGUUAGAGCAUUACACUUUUAAUGUAAGGGUCCUGCAUUCGAGUUGCAGUGGGUACA
RNAcentral lists this transfer RNA (74 nucleotides) under Bacteriophage sp. RNAcentral's name for it is "tRNA-Lys". It matches the Rfam family "tRNA". From Rfam's summary of the family: Transfer RNA (tRNA) molecules are approximately 80 nucleotides in length. Their secondary structure includes four short double-helical elements and three loops (D, anti-codon, and T loops). Further hydrogen bonds mediate the characteristic L-shaped molecular structure. tRNAs have two regions of fundamental functional importance: the anti-codon, which is responsible for specific mRNA codon recognition, and the 3' end, to which the tRNAs corresponding amino acid is attached (by aminoacyl-tRNA synthetases). tRNAs cope with the degeneracy of the genetic code in two manners: having more than one tRNA (with a specific anti-codon) for a particular amino acid; and 'wobble' base-pairing, i.e. permitting non-standard base-pairing at the 3rd anti-codon position. The record is from RNAcentral.